RNAcentral lists this non-coding RNA (30 nucleotides) under Mus musculus (house mouse). Lineage: Eukaryota; Metazoa; Chordata; Mammalia; Rodentia; Muridae. The record is from RNAcentral.
UCAAACACUUGUUUCCGUCUAUCCAUGGAG